UUGAACGCUGGCGGCAGGCCUAACACAUGCAAGUCGAGCGGAUGAAGGGAGCUUGCUCCUGGAUUCAGCGGCGGACGGGUGAGUAAUGCCUAGGAAUCUGCCUGGUAGUGGGGGAUAACGUCCGGAAACGGGCGCUAAUACCGCAUACGUCCUGAGGGAGAAAGUGGGGGAUCUUCGGACCUCACGCUCUCAGAUGAGCCUAGGUCGGAUUAGCUAGUUGGUGGGGUAAAGGCCUACCAAGGCGACGAUCCGUAACUGGUCUGAGAGGAUGAUCAGUCACACUGGAACUGAGACACGGUCCAGACUCCUACGGGAGGCAGCAGUGGGGAAUAUUGGACAAUGGGCGAAAGCCUGAUCCAGCCAUGCCGCGUGUGUGAAGAAGGUCUUCGGAUUGUAAAGCACUUUAAGUUGGGAGGAAGGGCAGUAAGUUAAUACCUUGCUGUUUUGACGUUACCAGCAGAAUAAGCACCGGCUAACUUCGUG
RNAcentral lists this ribosomal RNA (483 nucleotides) under uncultured bacterium. Its description in RNAcentral is "partial 16S ribosomal RNA". It matches the Rfam family "Bacterial small subunit ribosomal RNA", at positions 30 to 507 of the family's 1533-position model. The record is from RNAcentral.